CAGACACAAAGAGCUGCUUAGAGACAAUGAGUUACAGUGCUGAUACACAGAAUGUGAGAGAGGCUGGCACUAACACAGUUUGAAUUGUAGACAAUAGCUGAUGAGACAGGCAUAAAAUAGGACUGGCAGAUGUGGACAGAUUGAGAGGCCUCAGUGAGAAGGACUGAGCUUGAGAGGAAGUGUGACAUUAGGGCGUGGUCAACCAUCUAACCAACUUCCAUAUUUUCUCUUUUUUACGACAGACCGGCAGAUGCUGCGCUUUGUUUGACUCUGAUUGGAUGCGGGACGCAAGAUCAAAAUGAAUAUCAAGAUCGUGUUGCGAGGAUCUGCCUUUCUUCUGUUACUCGUCUUCAGAAGUUAUGCAGUUGAGAACGUGACACAAACAGAGACCCCGACACCACUGGAAAGCUCCACACCUACGUUUUAUAGCUCUAAACCCACAAAUGUGGGUCAGGGUAACCCGAAUGCGACAGGGGUGACAACGAGCCCAGAUGCGGAGCAGUUUGACCUCACCGUGACUGCGGCAAUCACUGACAACUCUUCAGACUCCCCGGUGACCUCCGCUGUGACCUUUGAAAAGAUGCCAGCCACACAGCCGGCCCGUAACACCAACACCUCCAAAACCGCCAAAGCUGUGGUGUGGGGUAAAACUUUCUCAUCUUCGUCAUCUUCUUAAAUGUAUUCUACAGCCUUUUCACUCAUGAUA
RNAcentral lists this long non-coding RNA (706 nucleotides) under Sinocyclocheilus grahami. RNAcentral describes it as "lncRNA (ENSSGRG00000000344.1)". The record is from RNAcentral. Lineage: Eukaryota; Metazoa; Chordata; Actinopteri; Cypriniformes; Cyprinidae.